GACGAACGCUGGCGGCGUGCCUAAUACAUGCAAGUAGAACGCUGAAGAGAGGAACUUACUCUUCUUGGAUGAGUUGCGAACGGGUGAGUAACGCGUAGGUAACCUGCCUUGUAGCGGGGGAUAACUAUUGGAAACGAUAGCUAAUACCGCAUAACAAUGGAUGACACAUGUCAUUUAUUUGAAAGGGGCAAUUGCUCCACUACAAGAUGGACCUGCGUUGUAUUAGCUAGUAGGUGAGGUAAUGGCUCACCUAGGCGACGAUACAUAGCCGACCUGAGAGGGUGAUCGGCCACACUGGGACUGAGACACGGCCCAGACUCCUACGGGAGGCAGCAGUAGGGAAUCUUCGGCAAUGGGGGCAACCCUGACCGAGCAACGCCGCGUGAGUGAAGAAGGUUUUCGGAUCGUAAAGCUCUGUUGUAAGUCAAGAACGGGUGUGAGAGUGGAAAGUUCACACUGUGACGGUAGCUUACCAGAAAGGGACGGCUAACUACGUG
Molecule: ribosomal RNA, 497 nt
Filed under: uncultured bacterium
Lineage: Bacteria
Description: partial 16S ribosomal RNA
Rfam family: Bacterial small subunit ribosomal RNA
Source: RNAcentral